Molecule: ribosomal RNA, 218 nt
Filed under: uncultured bacterium
Lineage: Bacteria
Description: partial 16S ribosomal RNA
Rfam family: Bacterial small subunit ribosomal RNA
Source: RNAcentral
UAGUAUGGGGAUCUGCCUGAUGGCGGGGGAUAACUACUGGAAACGGUAGCUAAUACCGCAUAAUGUCUGCGGACCAAAGCGGGGGACCUCCGGGCCUCGCGCCAUCAGAUGAACCCAUAUGGGAUUAGCUAGUAGGUGAGGUAACGGCUUACCUAGGCGACGAUCCCUAGCUGGUCUGAGAGGAUGAUCAGCCACACUGGAACUGAGACACGGUCCAG